UCGCCUGUUUAACAAAAACAUCGUUUUAUUUUUACUAUAUAAAAUAAUGUCUGCCCAGUGAUUUAAUUAUUUAACGGCUGUAGUACUCUGACUAUGCAAAGGUAGCAUAAUCAUUUGUUUUUUAAUUGAAAUCUAGAAUAAAAGAUAAAAUAAAGUUUAAUUCUAUCAAUAUUUAAUAAAUGAAAUUUUAAUUAUAGUAAAAAUACUAUAAUAUAUUUAAAAGACGAUAAGACCCUAUAAAACUUUAAACUAAGCUGUUUUUUAAUUAAAUUUUAUUAAUAAAAUUUAAUUAAAAGACAAAGUUUUUAUCUGGGGCGGAAAUUUUAAAAUUUAAAUCUAUUAAUAUUUAACUAACACUAAUAAGUGUCACUUUAUGAUCCAAUUUUAUUGAUUACAAAACUAAGUUACUUUAGGGAUAACAGUAUAAUUUUAUUUAAAAGUUCAUAUUGACAAUAAAGAUUAUUACCUCGAUGUUGAAUUAGGUAAAUAAUUUAAUGAAAAAGUUAAAUAUUUAAGUCUGUUCGACUUUUAAAAACCUACGUGAUCUGAGUUCAGACCGGA
RNAcentral lists this ribosomal RNA (561 nucleotides) under Bathynella sp. Trubarjeva Cave. RNAcentral's name for it is "partial 16S ribosomal RNA". The stretch from base 415 to 561 matches the Rfam family "Archaeal large subunit ribosomal RNA", at positions 2542 to 2689 of the family's 2987-position model. The record is from RNAcentral. Lineage: Eukaryota; Metazoa; Arthropoda; Malacostraca; Bathynellacea; Bathynellidae.